ACUGAUGCCCGCGUCGCGAU
RNAcentral lists this non-coding RNA (20 nucleotides) under Arabidopsis thaliana (thale cress). Lineage: Eukaryota; Viridiplantae; Streptophyta; Magnoliopsida; Brassicales; Brassicaceae. The record is from RNAcentral.